GUGGAAAUAGCUUAAUAGGUAGAGCAUAGCCUUGCCAAGGUUAAGGUUGAGGGUUCAAGUCCCUCCUUCCACU
RNAcentral lists this transfer RNA (73 nucleotides) under Nicotiana sylvestris (wood tobacco). It matches the Rfam family "tRNA". Rfam says of the family: Transfer RNA (tRNA) molecules are approximately 80 nucleotides in length. The record is from Rfam by way of RNAcentral. Lineage: Eukaryota; Viridiplantae; Streptophyta; Magnoliopsida; Solanales; Solanaceae. RNAcentral also lists the same sequence under 1 other name.